This 21-nucleotide transfer RNA is filed under the name Geckolepis maculata. RNAcentral's name for it is "partial tRNA-His". The record is from RNAcentral. Lineage: Eukaryota; Metazoa; Chordata; Lepidosauria; Squamata; Gekkonidae.
CGUCAGUAUAGUUUAACCAAA